GACGAACGCUGGCGGCGUGCUUAACACAUGCAAGUCGAACGGAAAGGCCCUGCUUUUGUGGGGUGCUCGAGUGGCGAACGGGUGAGUAACACGUGAGUAACCUGCCCUUGACUUUGGGAUAACUUCAGGAAACUGGGGCUAAUACCGGAUAGGAGCUCCUGCUGCAUGGUGGGGGUUGGAAAGUUUCGGCGGUUGGGGAUGGACUCGCGGCUUAUCAGCUUGUUGGUGGGGUAGUGGCUUACCAAGGCUUUGACGGGUAGCCGGCCUGAGAGGGUGACCGGCCACAUUGGGACUGAGAUACGGCCCAGACUCCUACGGGAGGCAGCAGUGGGGAAUAUUGCCCAAUGGGCGGAAGCCUGAUGCAGCAACGCCGCGUGCGGGAUGACGGCCUUCGGGUUGUAAACCGCAUUCGCCUGUGACGAAGCGUGAGUGACGGUAAUGGGUAAAGAAGCACCGGCUAACUACGUG
This 468-nucleotide ribosomal RNA is filed under the name uncultured bacterium. RNAcentral's name for it is "partial 16S ribosomal RNA". It matches the Rfam family "Bacterial small subunit ribosomal RNA", at positions 28 to 507 of the family's 1533-position model. The record is from RNAcentral.